Molecule: non-coding RNA, 23 nt
Filed under: Cricetulus griseus (Chinese hamster)
Lineage: Eukaryota; Metazoa; Chordata; Mammalia; Rodentia; Cricetidae
Source: RNAcentral
AUUUUAAAAAACCUCUAUGAAUG